RNAcentral lists this non-coding RNA (549 nucleotides) under Euroglyphus maynei. RNAcentral's name for it is "Eukaryotic small subunit ribosomal RNA". It matches the Rfam family "Eukaryotic small subunit ribosomal RNA", at positions 1 to 590 of the family's 1831-position model. The record is from Rfam by way of RNAcentral. Lineage: Eukaryota; Metazoa; Arthropoda; Arachnida; Sarcoptiformes; Pyroglyphidae.
AAUCUGGUUGAUCCUGCCAGUAGUUAUAUGCUUGUUUCAAAGAUUAAGCCAUGCAAGUCUAAGUAUAAGCUUUUAUACAGCGAAACUGCGAAUAGCUCAUUAUAACAGUUAUAAUUUACACGGUGAUCGUUACUAAAUGGAUAACCAUGGUAAUUCUGGAGCUAAUACAUGCGAAAUUCCCUUUCGGGAAGCAUUCAUUGGCCUUUUGAACCUUCACUGGUGAUCACAAUGAAAUUGCGGAUCUCAUUUGAGACAGACCGUUCAAGUUUCUGACCUAUCAGCUUUGGUCGGUAGGGUAUUGGCCUACCGAGGCAUUGACGGGUAACGGGGAAUUAGGGUUCGAUUCCGGAGAGGGAGCCUGAGAAACGGCUACCACAUCUAAGGGUGGCAGCAGGCGCGCAAAUUACCCAAUCCCGACACGGGGAGGUAGUGACAAGAAAUAGCGGCGUGAGACAAAUGUUUCAUGACUGCAAUGAGUAGAACUUAAAAACGUCUACGAUUAACAAUUGGAGGGCAAGUCUGGUGCCAGCAGCCGCGGUAAUUCCAGCU